Molecule: ribosomal RNA, 1436 nt
Filed under: uncultured organism
Description: 16S ribosomal RNA
Rfam family: Bacterial small subunit ribosomal RNA
Source: RNAcentral
CGUGCUUAACACAUGCAAGUCGAACGGAAAGGCCCUGCUUUUGUGGGGUGCUCGAGUGGCGAACGGGUGAGUAACACGUGAGUAACCUGCCCUUGACUUUGGGAUAACUUCAGGAAACUGGGGCUAAUACCGGAUAGGAGCUCCUGCUGCAUGGUGGGGGUUGGAAAGUUUCGGCGGUUGGGGAUGGACUCGCGGCUUAUCAGCUUGUUGGUGGGGUAGUGGCUUACCAAGGCUUUGACGGGUAGCCGGCCUGAGAGGGUGACCGGCCACAUUGGGACUGAGAUACGGCCCAGACUCCUACGGGAGGCAGCAGUGGGGAAUAUUGCACAAUGGGCGGAAGCCUGAUGCAGCAACGCCGCGUGCGGGAUGACGGCCUUCGGGUUGUAAACCGCUUUCGCCUGUGACGAAGCGUGAGUGACGGUAAUGGGUAAAGAAGCACCGGCUAACUACGUGCCAGCAGCCGCGGUGAUACGUAGGGUGCGAGCGUUGUCCGGAUUUAUUGGGCGUAAAGGGCUCGUAGGUGGUUGAUCGCGUCGGAAGUGUAAUCUUGGGGCUUAACCCUGAGCGUGCUUUCGAUACGGGUUGACUUGAGGAAGGUAGGGGAGAAUGGAAUUCCUGGUGGAGCGGUGGAAUGCGCAGAUAUCAGGAGGAACACCAGUGGCGAAGGCGGUUCUCUGGGCCUUUCCUGACGCUGAGGAGCGAAAGCGUGGGGAGCGAACAGGCUUAGAUACCCUGGUAGUCCACGCUGUAAACGGUGAGUACUAGGUGUGGGGUCCAUUCCACGGGUUCCGUGCCGUAGCUAACGCUUUAAGUACCCCGCCUGGGGAGUACGGCCGCAAGGCUAAAACUCAAAGGAAUUGACGGGGCCCCGCACAAGCGGCGGAGCAUGCGGAUUAAUUCGAUGCAACGCGUAGAACCUUACCUGGGUUUGACAUGGAUCGGGAGUGCUCAGAGAUGGGUGUGCCUCUUUUGGGGUCGGUUCACAGGUGGUGCAUGGCUGUCGUCAGCUCGUGUCGUGAGAUGUUGGGUUAAGUCCCGCAACGAGCGCAACCCUUGUUCACUGUUGCCAGCACGUUAUGGUGGGGACUCAGUGGAGACCGCCGGGGUCAACUCGGAGGAAGGUGGGGAUGACGUCAAGUCAUCAUGCCCCUUAUGUCCAGGGCUUCACGCAUGCUACAAUGGCUGGUACAGAGAGUGGCGAGCCUGUGAGGGUGAGCGAAUCUCGGAAAGCCGGUCUCAGUUCGGAUUGGGGUCUGCAACUCGACCUCAUGAAGUCGGAGUCGCUAGUAAUCGCAGAUCAGCAACGCUGCGGUGAAUACGUUCCCGGGGCUUGUACACACCGCCCGUCAAGUCAUGAAAGUUGGUAACACCCGAAGCCGGUGGCCUAACCGUUGUGGGGGAGCCGUCGAAGGUGGGACUGGUGAUUAGGACUAAGU